AUAUCACUCCCUCCGUCCAAAAAUACUUGUCAUCAAAAUGAUAAAAGUGAAUGUUUCUAGAAUACGUUUAAAAACAUCCACUUUUAUCCAUUUUGAUAACAAAUAUUUCCGGACGGAGGGAGUACUAU
Molecule: non-coding RNA, 128 nt
Organism: Triticum aestivum (bread wheat)
Lineage: Eukaryota; Viridiplantae; Streptophyta; Magnoliopsida; Poales; Poaceae
Source: Rfam